GACGAACGCUGGCGGCGUGCCUAAUACAUGCAAGUCGAACGCUGAAGGAGGAGCUUGCUUCUCCGGAUGAGUUGCGAACGGGUGAGUAACGCGUAGGUAACCUGCCUGGUAGCGGGGGAUAACUAUUGGAAACGAUAGCUAAUACCGCAUAACAGUAGAUAUUGCAUGAUAUCUGCUUGAAAGGUGCAAUUGCAUCACUACCAGAUGGACCUGCGUUGUAUUAGCUAGUUGGUGGGGUAACGGCUCACCAAGGCGACGAUACAUAGCCGACCUGGGAGGGGGAUCGGCCACACUGGGACUGAGACACGGCCCAGACUCCUACGGGAGGCAGCAGUAGGGAAUCUUCGGCAAUGGACGGAAGGCUGACCGAGCAACGCCGCGUGAGUGAAGAAGGGUUUCGGAUCGGAAAGCUCUGUUGUAAGAGAAGAACGAGUGUGAGAGUGGAAAGUUCACACUGUGACGGUAUCUUACCAGAAAGGGACGGCUAACUACGUG
RNAcentral lists this ribosomal RNA (495 nucleotides) under uncultured bacterium. Its description in RNAcentral is "partial 16S ribosomal RNA". It matches the Rfam family "Bacterial small subunit ribosomal RNA", at positions 28 to 507 of the family's 1533-position model. The record is from RNAcentral.